RNAcentral lists this ribosomal RNA (562 nucleotides) under uncultured bacterium. Its description in RNAcentral is "partial 16S ribosomal RNA". It matches the Rfam family "Bacterial small subunit ribosomal RNA", at positions 355 to 1375 of the family's 1533-position model. The record is from RNAcentral.
UGGGGAAUAUUGCACAAUGGGCGAAAGCCUGAUGCAGCAACGCCGCGUGAGUGAUGAAGGCCUUCGGGUUGUAAAGCUCUGUCUUUUGGGACGAUAAUGACGGUACCAAAGGAGGAAGCCACGGCUAACUACGUGCCAGCAGCCGCGGUAAUACGUAGGUGGCAAGCGUUGUCCGGAUUUACUGGGCGUAAAGGAUGCGUAGGCGGAUUUUUAAGUGAGAUGUGAAAUACCCGGGCUUAACUUGGGUGCUGCAUUUCAAACUGGGAAUCUAGAGUGAGGGAGAGGAGAAUGGAAUUCCUAGUGUAGCGGUGAAAUGCGUAGAGAUUAGGAAGAACACCAGUGGCGAAGGCGAUUCUCUGGACCGUAACUGACGCUGAGGCAUGAAAGCGUGGGUAGCAAACAGGAUUAGAUACCCUGGUAGUCCACGCCGUAAACGAUGAGUACUAGGUGUAGGAGGUAUCGACCCCUUCUGUGCCGCAGUUAACACAAUAAGUACUCCGCCUGGGAAGUACGAUCGCAAGAUUAAAACUCAAAUGAAUUGACGGGGUCAUAGCUGUUUCCU